GACAGAGGGUGCAAACGUUGUUCGGAAUUACUGGGCGUAAAGCGUGUGUAGGCGGUCCACUAAGUCGGGUGUGAAAGCCCUGGGCUCAACCCAGGAAGUGCACUCGAAACUGGCGGGCUAGAGUAUCGGAGAGGUUGGUGGAAUUCUCGGUGUAGAGGUGAAAUUCGUAGAUAUCGAGAGGAACACCGAUGGCGAAGGCAGCCUCUGGGCCAACACUGACGCUCAUGCACGAAAGCGUGGGGAGCAAACAGG
Molecule: ribosomal RNA, 252 nt
Filed under: uncultured bacterium
Lineage: Bacteria
Description: partial 16S ribosomal RNA
Rfam family: Bacterial small subunit ribosomal RNA
Source: RNAcentral